AGAGUUUGAUCCUGGCUCAGGAUGAACGCUGGCGGCGUGCCUAAUACAUGCAAGUAGAACGCUGAAGCUUGGUGCUUGCACCGAGCGGAAGAGUUGCGAACGGGUGAGUAACGCGUAGGUAACCUGCCUCUUAGCGGGGGAUAACUAUUGGAAACGAUAGCUAAUACCGCAUAAAAGUCGAUAUCGCAUGAUAUUGAUUUGAAAGGUGCAAUUGCAUCACUAAGAGAUGGACCUGCGUUGUAUUAGCUAGUUGGUGAGGUAACGGCUCACCAAGGCGACGAUACAUAGCCGACCUGAGAGGGUGAUCGGCCACACUGGGACUGAGACACGGCCCAGACUCCUACGGGAGGCAGCAGUAGGGAAUCUUCGGCAAUGGGGGCAACCCUGACCGAGCAACGCCGCGUGAGUGAAGAAGGUUUUCGGAUCGUAAAGCUCUGUUGUAAGAGAAGAACGAGUGUGAGAGUGGAAAGUUCACACUGUGACGGUAACUUACCAGAAAGGGACGGCUAACUACGUGCCAGCAGCCGCGGU
This 531-nucleotide ribosomal RNA is filed under the name uncultured Streptococcus sp. Its description in RNAcentral is "bacterial SSU rRNA". It matches the Rfam family "Bacterial small subunit ribosomal RNA", at positions 8 to 521 of the family's 1533-position model. The record is from RNAcentral. Lineage: Bacteria; Bacillati; Bacillota; Bacilli; Lactobacillales; Streptococcaceae.